This 207-nucleotide ribosomal RNA is filed under the name Lysinibacillus fusiformis. RNAcentral describes it as "partial 16S ribosomal RNA". It matches the Rfam family "Bacterial small subunit ribosomal RNA", at positions 88 to 288 of the family's 1533-position model. The record is from RNAcentral. Lineage: Bacteria; Bacillati; Bacillota; Bacilli; Caryophanales; Bacillaceae.
GACGUUAGCGGCGGACGGGUGAGUAACACGUGGGCAACCUACCUUAUAGUUUGGGAUAACUCCGGGAAACCGGGGCUAAUACCGAAUAAUCUAUUUCACCUCAUGGUGAAAUACUGAAAGACGGUUUCGGCUGUCGCUAUAGGAUGGGCCCGCGGCGCAUUAGCUAGUUGGUGAGGUAACGGCUCACCAAGGCGACGAUGCGUAGCC